Molecule: ribosomal RNA, 492 nt
Filed under: uncultured bacterium
Lineage: Bacteria
Description: partial 16S ribosomal RNA
Rfam family: Bacterial small subunit ribosomal RNA
Source: RNAcentral
AGUGAACGCUGGCGGUAGGCCUAACACAUGCAAGUCGAACGGCAGCACAGUAAGAGCUUGCUCUUACGGGUGGCGAGUGGCGGACGGGUGAGGAAUACAUCGGAAUCUGCUUUUUCGUGGGGGAUAACGUAGGGAAACUUACGCUAAUACCGCAUACGACCUACGGGUGAAAGCAGGGGAUCUUCGGACCUUGCGCGAUUGAAUGAGCCGAUGUCGGAUUAGCUAGUUGGCGGGGUAAAGACCCACCAAGGCGACGAUCCGUAGCUGGUCUGAGAGGAUGAUCAGCCACACUGGAACUGAGACACGGUCCAGACUCCUACGGGAGGCAGCAGUGGGGAAUAUUGGACAAUGGGCGCAAGCCUGAUCCAGCCAUACCGCGUGGGUGAAGAAGGCCUUCGGGUUGUAAAGCCCUUUUGUUGGGAAAGAAAAGCAGCAGGUUAAUACCCCGCUGUUCUGACGGUACCCAAAGAAUAAGCACCGGCUAACUUCGUG